ACCUAGCUGAUGAGUCUUAAAUAGGACGAAAUGUGCAUCCUGGAU
RNAcentral lists this non-coding RNA (45 nucleotides) under Trichobilharzia regenti. Lineage: Eukaryota; Metazoa; Platyhelminthes; Trematoda; Strigeidida; Schistosomatidae. The record is from RNAcentral.